RNAcentral lists this ribosomal RNA (253 nucleotides) under uncultured prokaryote. RNAcentral's name for it is "partial 16S ribosomal RNA". It matches the Rfam family "Bacterial small subunit ribosomal RNA", at positions 524 to 776 of the family's 1533-position model. The record is from RNAcentral.
UACGAGAGCCUCGAGCGUUAUCCGGAAUUAUUGGGCGUAAAGGGUGCGUAGGUUGUUCUGUUAGUCUUUUGUUAAAGUCCUCGGCUUAACCGGGGGAUUGCGGGAGAAACGGCAGAACUUGAAAGUGCGAGAGGUGUACGGAACUCAUGGUGUAGGGGUGAAAUCCGUUGAUAUCAUGGGGAACACCAAAUGCGAAGGCAGUACACUGGCGCAUAUUUGACACUGAAGCACGAAAGCGUGGGUAGCGAAUGGG